AGCAGCCGCGGUAAUUCCAGCUCCAAUAGCGUAUAUUAAAGUUGUUGCAGUUAAAAAGCUCGUAGUUGAAUUUCGGGAUUAGUUUGUUGGUCGUGCUUCGGUACGUACUGUCAUUACUGGUUUCUACCCUCUGAAGAACCUUGAUGUCAUUAAUUUGGUGUCUUGGGGGAAUCAGGACUGUUACUUUGAAAAAAUUAGAGUGUUUAAAGCAAGCAUACGCUUGAAUACAUUAGCAUGGAAUAAUGAAAUAGGACGUUUGAUUCUAUUUUGUUGGUUUCUAGGAUCGACGUAAUGAUUAAUAGGGAUAGUUGGGGGGCAUUAGUAUUCAAUUGUCAGAGGUGAAAUUCUUGGAUUUAUUGAAGACUAACUACCGCGAAAGCAUUUGCCAAGGAUGUUUUCAUUAAUCAAGAACGAAAGUUAGGGGAUCGAAGACGAAUCAGAUACCGUCGUAGUCUUAACUAUAAACUAUGCCGACUAGGGAUCGGAUGAUGUUAUUUUUUAAUGACUUUCAUUCGGCGCC
This 520-nucleotide unclassified non-coding RNA is filed under the name uncultured Glomus. RNAcentral describes it as "SSU rRNA". It matches the Rfam family "Eukaryotic small subunit ribosomal RNA", at positions 569 to 1087 of the family's 1831-position model. Lineage: Eukaryota; Fungi; Glomeromycota; Glomeromycetes; Glomerales; Glomeraceae. The record is from RNAcentral.